UAGUUUAUAGUCCCACCAACAGUGUAAAAGUGUUCCUAUUUCUCCACAUCCUCUCCAGCACCUGUUGUUUCCUGACUUUUGAAUGAUUGCCAUUCUAACUGGUGUGAGAUGGUAUCUCAUUGUGGUUUUGAUUUGCAUUUCUCUGAUGGCCAGUGAUGAUGAGCAUUUUUUCAUGUGUUUUUUGGCUGCAUAAAUGUCUUCUUUUGAGAAGUGUCUGUUCAUGUCCUUCACCCACUUUUUGAUGGGGUUGUUUGUUUUUUUCUUGUAAAUUUGUUUGAGUUCAUUGUAGGUUCUGGAUAUUAGCCCUUUGUCAGGUGAGUAGAUUGCGAAAAUUUUCUCCCAUUCUGUAGGUUGCCUGUUCACUCUGAUGGUAGUUUCUUUUGCUGUGCAGAAGCUCUUGAGUUUAAUUAGAUCCCAUUUGUCAAUUUUGUCUUUUGUUGCCAUUGCUUUUGCUGUUUUAGACAUGAAGUCCUUGCCCAUGUCUAUGUCCUGAAUGGUAUUGCCUAGGUUUUCUUCUAGGGUUUUUAUGGUUUUAGCUCUAACGUUUAAGUCUUUAAUCCAUCUUGAAUUGAUUUUUGUAUAAGGUGUAAGGAAGGGAUCCAGUUUCAACUUUGUACAUAUGGCUAGCCAGUUUUCCCAGCACCAUUUAUUAAAUAAGGAAUCCUUUCCCCAUUGCUUGUUUUUCUCAGGUUUGUCAAAGAUCAGAUAGUUGUAGAUAUGCAGCAUUAUUUCUGAGGGCUCUGUUCUGUUCCAUUGAUCCAUAUCUCUGUUUUGGUACCAGUACCAUGCUGUUUUGGUUACUGUAGCCGUGUAGUACAGUUUGAAGUCUGGUAGUGUGAUGCCUCCAG
Molecule: long non-coding RNA, 848 nt
Filed under: Pan troglodytes (chimpanzee)
Lineage: Eukaryota; Metazoa; Chordata; Mammalia; Primates; Hominidae
Description: long non-coding RNA NONPTRT013240
Source: RNAcentral